Danionella cerebrum is the source of this 71-nucleotide non-coding RNA. The record is from the annotation of a GenBank genome assembly. NCBI's taxonomy places the organism in Eukaryota, Metazoa, Chordata, Actinopteri, Cypriniformes, Danionidae.
GGUGCUGUGGUUUAGUUGGUUAAAGCACCUGUCUAGUAACCAGAAGGUUGGUUCAAUUCCCAGUGGUGCCU